CGCUAUAAAAACAGGCAGACCGGACCACACGGCAGCUGCUUCACUGACACGCCAAGAGGAAGCCUCUUCCCAAAGACUCAUCUAAGUCAAAGAAUUACACUGCUGAAAACGGCCGAACCUUUGAAAACGAGGGAAAAAUGGCAAGUGUUCCAUCAGCGGGAUGUCUGCUUGCGAAAAAUCAUUUCUACAGGACACGACUCAAUUCGGUCUCAAGCAAUUCGUCGACAAGCUCGUCCACGUGUUGUGAUCUUGGGGGAGAUCAGGAGAAGGUGUCUACUCCACAUGGUAUACACAUACCCUUUGAGAAGUGCUGGUGGCUGAAGAAGUUCCUUGUAUGUGAUGUGAUACAUCAUAAUGAGUCCGAGCAUUCAGCUGUAAAUGGUGCUAGCAGUUAGUCCGCUGUGCUGACGGAUGCAUGAAUGUGGAGUCAGGGCUGUAAACGCAAGCGAGCUGCUGACUCAAGGUCUACAUGUCUGCAACCACUGUCUCUCCAGCUGGAGGCUGGGGGAACAUUCAAUGGCACUUAAGGAAAAUGAGGUAGAAUGGUGCCCUUUGGCACAGUUGAGAAUGCACUCUGGUUGCUGGGUAUAAUGUUAACACCAUGUAAUUUAUACCAUCUAACCUUUGGUGUAGACUUUCAAACAUUUGAUCUCUAGCCACUUAUGAAUGGAUGUUUUGAAAGACCAUUUUUCUUUUCUUUUUUUUUUUUUUUUUU
Megalops cyprinoides (Indo-Pacific tarpon) is the source of this 715-nucleotide long non-coding RNA. RefSeq lists it as uncharacterized. Lineage: Eukaryota; Metazoa; Chordata; Actinopteri; Elopiformes; Megalopidae. The transcript is spliced from 5 exons. The record is from RefSeq and is a predicted model, not a curated record.